RNAcentral lists this ribosomal RNA (487 nucleotides) under uncultured bacterium. RNAcentral describes it as "partial 16S ribosomal RNA". It matches the Rfam family "Bacterial small subunit ribosomal RNA", at positions 30 to 507 of the family's 1533-position model. The record is from RNAcentral.
AUUGAACGCUGGCGGCAUGCCUUACACAUGCCAGUCGAACGGCAGCACGGGUGCUUGCACCUGGUGGCGAGUGGCGAACGGGUGAGUAAUACAUCGGAACAUGUCCUGUAGUGGGGGAUAGCCCGGCGAAAGCCGGAUUAAUACCGCAUACGAUCUACGGAUGAAAGCGGGGGACCUUCGGGCCUCGCGCUAUAGGGUUGGCCGAUGGCUGAUUAGCUAGUUGGUGGGGUAAAGGCCUACCAAGGCGACGAUCAGUAGCUGGUCUGAGAGGACGACCAGCCACACUGGGACUGAGACACGGCCCAGACUCCUACGGGAGGCAGCAGUGGGGAAUUUUGGACAAUGGGCGAAAGCCUGAUCCAGCAAUGCCGCGUGUGGGAAGAAGGCCUUCGGGUUGUAAAGCACUUUUGUCCGGAAAGAAAUCCUUGGCCCUAAUACGGUCGGGGGGAUGACGGUACCGGAAGAAUAAGCACCGGCUAACUACGUG